CAGCAGCCACGGUAAUACGUAGGGUGCAAGCGUUAAUCGGAAUUACUGGGCGUAAAGCGUGCGCAGGCGGUUAUAUAAGACAGAUGUGAAAUCCCCGGGCUCAACCUGGGAACUGCCUUUGUGACUGCAAGGCUAGAGUACGGCAGAGGGGGAUGGAAUUCCGCGUGUAGCAGUGAAAUGCGUAGAUAUGCGGAGGAACACCGAUGGCGAAGGCAAUCCCCUGUGCCUGUACUGACGCUCAUGCACGAAAGCGUGGGGAGCAAACAGGAUUAGAUACCCGCGUAGUCCCUGUCUCUUAUAA
Molecule: ribosomal RNA, 301 nt
Filed under: uncultured bacterium
Lineage: Bacteria
Description: partial 16S ribosomal RNA
Rfam family: Bacterial small subunit ribosomal RNA
Source: RNAcentral